This 178-nucleotide ribosomal RNA is filed under the name uncultured bacterium. Its description in RNAcentral is "partial 16S ribosomal RNA". It matches the Rfam family "Bacterial small subunit ribosomal RNA", at positions 1323 to 1500 of the family's 1533-position model. The record is from RNAcentral.
AAGCUGGAAUCGCUAGUAAUCGCGGAUCAGAAUGCCGCGGUGAAUACGUUCCCGGGUCUUGUACACACCGCCCGUCACACCAUGGGAGUCGGAAAUGCCCGAAGUCUGUGACCCAACCGCAAGGAGGGAGCAGCCGAAGGCAGGUCGGAUGACUGGGGUGAAGUCGUAACAAGGUACC